RNAcentral lists this unclassified non-coding RNA (248 nucleotides) under Hevea brasiliensis (rubber tree). The record is from RNAcentral. Lineage: Eukaryota; Viridiplantae; Streptophyta; Magnoliopsida; Malpighiales; Euphorbiaceae.
GGAGCUAUGCAAUCUUCUGGUCAACUGCAGUUACACAACCAGGGGUGUUGAAAUGGAUUGAUGGGUACUAUAAUGGGGAUAUCAAGACCAGGAAGACUGUUCAGGCGGGGGAAGUUAAUGAAGACCAGCUGGGGUUGCAUAGAACUGAGCAAUUGAAAGAACUUUAUAGUUCCCUCUUAACAAGUGAAAGUGAAGAAGACCUGCAGCCACAGGCCAAAAGGCCGUCGGCCUCAUUAUCCCCAGAAGAU